UCUCCGUAGGUGAACCUGCGGAGGGAUCAUUACAGAGUUCAUGGCCUACCGGGUAGAUCUCCCACCCUAUGUUAUUAUUACUUUGUUUCUUUGGCGGGCCGUUAGGCUCCGGCCCGACUACCGGGCCCGGCUGCUAAGCGCCUGCCCGAGUCCCCAAAACACUGCAUAUUAGCGUAGUAUGAUUAUUAUAUAAUAGUUAAAACUUUCAACAACGGAUCUCUUGGUUCUG
Molecule: unclassified non-coding RNA, 229 nt
Filed under: plant metagenome
Description: partial contains small subunit ribosomal RNA, internal transcribed spacer 1, and 5.8S ribosomal RNA
Source: RNAcentral